GUCUGGUUUCAAGAUUAGCCCCCGUUUUGUUGUCAGGUUUUACCUCUCAACGUGCGGGGGUUUUCUCU
Molecule: antisense RNA, 68 nt
Filed under: Escherichia coli
Lineage: Bacteria; Pseudomonadati; Pseudomonadota; Gammaproteobacteria; Enterobacterales; Enterobacteriaceae
Also listed under: 12 other names
Description: sRNA antisense regulator affects LdrC translation; proposed addiction module in LDR-C repeat, with toxic peptide LdrC
Rfam family: rdlD antitoxin
Source: RNAcentral